Molecule: ribosomal RNA, 301 nt
Filed under: uncultured bacterium
Lineage: Bacteria
Description: partial 16S ribosomal RNA
Rfam family: Bacterial small subunit ribosomal RNA
Source: RNAcentral
CAGCAGCCGCGGGAAUACAGAGGGUGCAAGCGUUAAUCGUAUUUACUGGGCGUAAAGGGCGCGUAGGUGGUUAUUUAAGUGAGAUGUGAAAGCCCCGGGCUUAACCUGGGAACUGCAUCUUAUACUGGGUAACUGGAGUGCAGUGGAGGGUAGUGGAAUUUCCGGUGUAGCGGUGAAAUGCGUAGAUAUCGGAAGGAACACCAGUGGCGAAGGCGGCUACCUGGACUGAGACUGACACUGAGGCGCGAGAGCGUGGGGAGCAAACAGGAUUAGAUACCCCCGUAGUCCCUGUCUCUUAUAC